UAAGGAAUAUUGGUCAAUGGACGCAAGUCUGAACCAGCCAUGCCGCGUGAAGGAUGAAGGUCCUCUGGAUUGUAAACUUCUUUUAUCUGGGACGAAAACGGGAUUUUUAUCUCAAUUGACGGUACCAGAGGAAUAAGCACCGGCUAACUCCGUGCCAGCAGCCGCGGUAAUACGGAGGGUGCAAGCGUUAUCCGGAUUUACUGGGUUUAAAGGGUGCGUAGGCGGGCAUGUAAGUCAGUGGUGAAAUACCGGAGCUUAACUUCGGAACUGCCAUUGAUACUAUAUGUCUUGAAUAUUGUGGAGGUAAGCGGAAUAUGUCAUGUAGCGGUUAAAUGCAUAGAUAUGACAUAGAACACCGAUUGCGAAGGCAGCUUGCUACGCAAAUAUUGACGCUGAGGCACGAAAGCGUGGGGAUCAAACA
RNAcentral lists this ribosomal RNA (421 nucleotides) under uncultured bacterium. Its description in RNAcentral is "bacterial SSU rRNA". It matches the Rfam family "Bacterial small subunit ribosomal RNA", at positions 355 to 774 of the family's 1533-position model. The record is from RNAcentral.